CUUGAAAUGGGCUGAGUCCCUCUUGCUCACCCUUGACUUGGAAAAACCAGUUUCUCUUUUAUUGUCUGUUACUAAUCUCUAUUCUAAAAAUUCAGCUCAAUUCUCAACCAUACUCCAAACUCUCUCUUUUCCAGCUACCUUUACUCCCUCUCCUUCAAUUCCACUUUCCUCUGCUUACUUUUUUUUUUUUUCUGACAGGGUCUCACUUUGUCGCCCGGGCAGGAGUGCAGUGGCUCAAUCUUGGGCUCACUGCAGCCUCAACCUCCCAGGUUCAAGCGAUUCUCCUGCCUCAGCCCCUCAAGUAGCUGGGACUACAAGCGCACACCACCACGCCUGACUAAUUUUUUGUAUUUUUUUGUAGAGGCGGGGUUUCACCAUGUUGCCCAGACUGGUCUUGAACUCCUGAGCUUAAGCAAUCCACCUGCCUCGGCCUCCCAAAGUGUUGGGAUCACAGGCGUGAGCCACCGCAUCCGGCCUCAUGUUCUUUUUCAUUAAAGAGAGAAAUCAACUAUUCAGGACCGGCCCCCACCUUUCCUCAGGAGUCAUUUCUGUUCCGCACAGGCCUGCUGAACUGGGUGCUUUAUAUAGGACACUGUCAUCUCUCAAGUACCCAUCUUGGAGGGUACGGACCCCACAUGAGGGUGAGGCUCUCUGCACACUCCAGAGUGAGGACUUUAAUAAUCUAGUGGACUGUACAUGUUGGGAGGGGAAGAGCGGGGUGCCGAGGGUCUGGAGGGAGAAGAAUUGACUGCCCCUUUUGCUCUUGGAGUUAAGCAGAAAUCUAAA
Molecule: long non-coding RNA, 786 nt
Filed under: Homo sapiens (human)
Lineage: Eukaryota; Metazoa; Chordata; Mammalia; Primates; Hominidae
Description: non-protein coding MIR205HG:16
Source: RNAcentral